CUGCCCAGUGACAACUGUUUAACGGCCGCGGUAUCCUAACCGUGCAAAGGUAGCAUAAUCACUUGCCUAUUAAUUGUAGGCUAGAAUGAACGGAUAAACGAAAUAAAGACUGUCUCAAUCAGCAAUCUAAAAAUUAACAUCUGCAUGAAGAGAUACAGAUAAAAUCGAAGGACAAGAAGACCCUAUAGAGCUUCAUUCUAAACACAGGUAAUUACUGUAUAAAAAUUCGGUUGGGGCGACCAAGGACACUAAAAAACACCCUAUAAAUAAAAGAUUUAUUAAUCAAAUAACUGACCCUUACUAAGAUCAAAAAAUCAAGCUACCUUAGGGAUAACAGGCUAAUCCUAUUUAAGAGUUCAUAUCUACAAUAGGGCUUGGCACCUCGAUGUUGGCUUAGGGUAUCAAUAUAGCGCAAAAGCUAUAUAAAGAUGGUUUGUUCAACCAGUAAUCCCCU
This 454-nucleotide ribosomal RNA is filed under the name Rhododrilus n. sp. 8 TRB-2010. Its description in RNAcentral is "partial 16S ribosomal RNA". It matches the Rfam family "Bacterial large subunit ribosomal RNA", at positions 1859 to 2597 of the family's 2925-position model. The record is from RNAcentral. Lineage: Eukaryota; Metazoa; Annelida; Clitellata; Crassiclitellata; Megascolecidae.